Molecule: ribosomal RNA, 396 nt
Filed under: uncultured bacterium
Lineage: Bacteria
Description: partial 16S ribosomal RNA
Rfam family: Bacterial small subunit ribosomal RNA
Source: RNAcentral
CUACGUAGGGGGCGAGCGUUGUCCGGAAUGAUUGGGCGUAAAGGGCGCGUAGGCGGCCCGGUAAGUCUGGAGUGAAAGUCCUGUUUUUAAGAUGGGAAUUGCUUUGGAUACUGUCGGGCUUGAGUGCAGGAGAGGUAAGUGGAAUUCCCAGUGUAGCGGUGAAAUGCGUAGAGAUUGGGAGGAACACCAGUGGCGAAGGCGACUUACUGGACUGUAACUGACGCUGAGGCGCGAAAGUGUGGGGAGCAAACAGGAUUAGAUACCCUGGUAGUCCACACUGUAAACGAUGAAUACUAGGUGUGCGGGGACUGACCCCCUGCGUGCCGGCGUUAACACAAUAAGUAUUCCACCUGGGGAGUACGAUCGCAAGGUUGAAACUCAAAUGAAUUGACGGGG